ACUCCCCUGCUGUGUUUGUGAUCGGAGAGUGUACUUAGAACCAAUACUAAGUUAAAGGGCGCUGGCUCUGGGUGGUUGACGGCAUGUCUCUGGCCUACAUCCUGGGAGAAAGUCGAAGAUAUCUAUUCUGGUGCCCACAUAAUCGAACCAAGGUUCGAGGAGCUUUUCGACACGACAUCGCGGGGGUAGA
Molecule: non-coding RNA, 190 nt
Filed under: Pseudomonadota bacterium
Lineage: Bacteria; Pseudomonadati; Pseudomonadota
Description: Proteobacteria bacterium (cold seep metagenome) 6S RNA
Rfam family: 6S / SsrS RNA
About the family: E. coli 6S RNA was the first non coding RNA to be sequenced, but its function was unknown until recently. It consists of 184 nucleotides that fold into an extended hairpin structure with a large single-stranded internal bulge.
Source: RNAcentral